Hippocampus zosterae (dwarf seahorse) is the source of this 424-nucleotide long non-coding RNA. RefSeq lists it as uncharacterized. The transcript has 2 exons. The record is from RefSeq and is a predicted model, not a curated record. NCBI's taxonomy places the organism in Eukaryota, Metazoa, Chordata, Actinopteri, Syngnathiformes, Syngnathidae.
UUAAAAAAGGUAUGCUUCCUUGGUAAAACGCCGCGAGACUACGCCGAGUCUGAAAGGAAAUCACCGUGCUCGCGAGACUUCCCCACAUUUGCAUUCACGUAUGAUUUGCGUUCAGACUUCAGCGCAUUUACGACGAGCGGGGUUGGUGCUGCGUAAUUUAUAGUACGUAACUCGCGUAAAUGCGCUCAGACUGGGGGAAUGUCGGCUCGUGAAUGAUCAGCUAUUGAGGCGGCAGGGAGCGUCAACGCUAUGGCUGUAAGUAUUCCAAGUCAUUGUUAUUGGGCUCCUUUGCAUUAUGAUUGGAGCAUGUGCAAAUAUGGACACCCACAACACUCAAUUGAAAUGUGUGUACUGCAUAUGAUCAAAAAUAAGGUCAGUGAAUGUGAACUGGGGCUGAGCAAUAUUACAUUGAAACAAAAUUUUG